This 373-nucleotide ribosomal RNA is filed under the name uncultured bacterium. RNAcentral describes it as "bacterial SSU rRNA". It matches the Rfam family "Bacterial small subunit ribosomal RNA", at positions 527 to 898 of the family's 1533-position model. The record is from RNAcentral.
GUAGGGGGCAAGCGUUGUCCGGAAUCAUUGGGCGUAAAGCGCGCGUAGGCGGCCUCACAAGUCCGCUGUAAAAGUCAAAGGCUCAACCUUUGAAUGCCAGUGGAAACUGUGUGGCUAGAGUCCGGAAGAGGCGAGUGGAAUUCCUGGUGUAGCGGUGGAAUGCGCAGAUAUCAGGAGGAACACCAACGGCGAAGGCAGCUCGCUGGGACGGUACUGACGCUGAGGCGCGAAAGCGUGGGGAGCAAACAGGAUUAGAUACCCUGGUAGUCCACGCCGUAAACGAUGGGCACUAGGUGUGGGAGGUGUCGACUCCUCCCGUGCCGGCGCUAACGCAUUAAGUGCCCCGCCUGGGGAGUACGGCCGCAAGGCUAAA